Long non-coding RNA from Brassica napus (rape), 188 nucleotides. RefSeq lists it as uncharacterized. The transcript has 3 exons. The record is from RefSeq and is a predicted model, not a curated record. Lineage: Eukaryota; Viridiplantae; Streptophyta; Magnoliopsida; Brassicales; Brassicaceae.
UGUGAUGGAGGUUUUGAGAUCAGACUAUGGAAAUGCCUAUUUCGUCACAGGAAUCUUCACUACUGCAAUUUACUCUGAUGAUUGCAUCUUCGAGGAUCCGACGAUCAGCUUCCAGGGUACAGAGUUGUAUGAACGCAACUUGAGAUUACUGGUUCCGUUCCUUGAAGAUGCAUCCAUUGAACUUCAAA